CCGGCGGCCAAAGGAAGCGAUUCCGGCCGGGGGAUGGGCAUGCGGCGCAUUAGCUAGUCGGCGGGGUAACGGCCCACCGAGGCGACGAUGCGUAGGGGUUCUGAGAGGAAGGUCCCCCACACUGGUACUGAGACACGGACCAGACUCCUACGGGAGGCAGCAG
This 163-nucleotide ribosomal RNA is filed under the name uncultured bacterium. RNAcentral describes it as "partial 16S ribosomal RNA". It matches the Rfam family "Bacterial small subunit ribosomal RNA", at positions 194 to 354 of the family's 1533-position model. The record is from RNAcentral.